GAGUUUGAUCGUGGCUCAGAUUGAACGCUGGCGGCAGGCCUAACACAUGCAAGUCGGGCGGUAGAGAGAAGCUUGCUUCUCUUGAGAGCGGCGGACGGGUGAGUAAUGCCUAGGAAUCUGCCUGGUAGUGGGGGAUAACGCUCGGAAACGGACGCUAAUACCGCAUACGUCCUACGGGAGAAAGCAGGGGACCUUCGGGCCUUGCGCUAUCAGAUGAGCCUAGGUCGGAUUAGCUAGUUGGUGAGGUAAUGGCUCACCAAGGCGACGAUCCGUAACUGGUCUGAGAGGAUGAUCAGUCACACUGGAACUGAGACACGGUCCAGACUCCUACGGGAGGCAGCAGUGGGGAAUAUUGGACAAUGGGCGAAAGCCUGAUCCAGCCAUGCCGCGUGUGUGAAGAAGGUCUUCGGAUUGUAAAGCACUUUAAGUUGGAGGAAGGGCAGUAAAUUAAUACUUUGCUGUUUUGACGUUACCGACAGAAUAAGCACCGGCUAACUCUGUGCCAGCAGCC
This 511-nucleotide ribosomal RNA is filed under the name uncultured bacterium. RNAcentral's name for it is "bacterial SSU rRNA". It matches the Rfam family "Bacterial small subunit ribosomal RNA", at positions 9 to 516 of the family's 1533-position model. The record is from RNAcentral.